RNAcentral lists this long non-coding RNA (530 nucleotides) under Rattus norvegicus (Norway rat). Its description in RNAcentral is "long non-coding RNA NONRATT033748". Lineage: Eukaryota; Metazoa; Chordata; Mammalia; Rodentia; Muridae. The record is from RNAcentral.
ACAGGGCUGGCUCCUUUUAGGGGCUCCUGCUUCCCCUAUACCUCGUGGCACCCCGUGGCUCACAGAUCCAUACCAAAUUGACCUUUCUCCCACUUUACCGCUGCCCACUUGUCACUUUCCUACAGCCCUUGUGAUCUCAUUUAGGGUAUCUCUAGACAACAAAAGAGAAUCCAGGAUUACCUCUCUGUCUCAAGCUCAUUAAUUUAACCAUGAUACAAGGUAACUUUCUACCGACGCGGUGGCAGUUACGUCCGUUACUAGACAUUCUUCCAAGUAUCAUCGCUCAAGGACCUGGCCUAUUUCCUUGUACAGGUGACUUGUCCUGGAGCAGAUUUCUGGGAUCUUCUACACCUUCUCCUUCUGGGUUCCUUUCACUGCACCAGAUGCUUGACAGAGGGAGCAUCCUCAGGGUCAUAUGACAAGGUGAACCGACAUCUUAAAACACCGGCUAGAGAGAAGACUCAAGACUUUGGAAGGCCUGCCUCAAGCUUUCCCAACAACAUGGUACUAUCUAAGAGGUUGUGGUUUUG